RNAcentral lists this ribosomal RNA (517 nucleotides) under uncultured fungus. Its description in RNAcentral is "SSU rRNA". It matches the Rfam family "Eukaryotic small subunit ribosomal RNA", at positions 209 to 726 of the family's 1831-position model. Lineage: Eukaryota; Fungi. The record is from RNAcentral.
AUUAGAUAAAAAACCAAUGCCCUUCGGGGCUUUCUGGUGAUUCAUAAUAACUAAACGAAUCGCAUGGCCUUGAGCCGGCGAUGGUUCAUUCAAAUUUCUGCCCUAUCAACUUUCGAUUGUAGGAUAGAGGCCUACAAUGGUUUCAACGGGUAACGGAGAAUUAGGGUUCGGUUCCGGAGAGGGAGCCUGAGAAACGGCUACCACAUCCAAGGAAGGCAGCAGGCGCGCAAAUUACCCAAUCCCGACACGGGGAGGUAGUGACAAUAAAUACUGAUACAGGGCUCUUUUGGGUCUUGUAAUUGGGAUGAGUACAAUUUAAAUCCCUUAACGAGGAACAAUUGGAGGGCAAGUCUGGUGCCAGCAGCCGCGGUAAUUCCAGCUCCAAUAGCGUAUAUUAAAGUUGUUGCAGUUAAAAAGCUCGUAGUUGAACCUUGGGUCUGGCUGGCCGGUCCGCCUCACCGCGUGCACUGGUCCGGCCGGACCUUUCCUCUUGGGGAUCCGCAUGCCCUUUACUGGG